Numida meleagris (helmeted guineafowl) is the source of this 1353-nucleotide long non-coding RNA. RefSeq lists it as uncharacterized. The transcript is spliced from 2 exons. Lineage: Eukaryota; Metazoa; Chordata; Aves; Galliformes; Numididae. The record is from RefSeq and is a predicted model, not a curated record.
AGUGGCCAGAGGGAUGUGCCAUGCUCUGCUCCCCGGGGUCUAGACCUCUACUGGGAGCCCAGUCUGGGGCCAUAACCGGUGCCAUUCUGCUGGUAGGAGAGUGCAGAGUGCCCAGCUGGGGCCGAGCCCCCCUCGCCUGCUGACCGAAGAGGAGUACCGCAUCCAAGGCGAAGUGGAGACCCGCAAGGCCCUCGAGGAGCUUCGAAACUACUGCAGGAGCCCGGAUUUCUCCGCUUGGACUGCAGUCUCCCGCAUCCAAUCUCCCAAAAGGUUUGCUGAGUUUGUGGGCGGUGCCUCCCACCUCACCGCCAGCGAGGUGUCCUUCCACGAGCAGGAGUACGGCUUGGGCGGCGUGUUCCUCGAGGACCAGCUCUUUGAGGAGGACGAGGAGGAAGACUGACUGUUGACAGAGACUGCACGAGUUGCUCGUGGUCCCACAACCCACCCAACUGCUGGUUGAGGUCAGCUGCCCCACACCCACGAGGGCGAGCUGCUUCCCUGCUGCCUGCAGUGCCCAAAGCCCUUUUUAAAGGGGUGAGUUGGUGUUGCUGCGCCCGGCACCUCCAAUUCCACCUCAAGCUGGGCUGCCACGAACCUGGCUCUGCUGCAGAGCUGCUAGGAGGACGAAAGGAGCUGACCCUCGUUUUUCUGGGUAGCUCCUGCCCGGCUGAGGCACAAAAGCUUUUUAUGAGUGCAGCUCUCUUUGGCAGAAGGGUGCAGGGAGCUGGCCCUGGUGGGGACACUGAGAUCUGCGCUGUGAUGUGAUGUGGCACACUGGUCUAGACUGCAGCCAUCCUGCCUCUUGGUGCAUUUGCUCGUGCUGCACACGUCGUAAGGGCUUCCUGAGCCCUGUGCUCCUGCACUGCUGCCGUGGGGGGGAUUGAGGGGGGGCAGGAUGAGCCCCUCUGCCUUGCUCUGGGUGCCCACACCCUCGCUCUGCCAGGGCGUCUCUGCCUUGCAGGGUGUGGAUGGAGCAAAAGGUCCCUGUCGCGUGCGUGUCCCCACGGGGGAUGACACGUUCCUAAGGGGAACUUUGAACCUCUCCUGCCGCUACCUGCGUGCUCAGCACCUGCUCGCUGCCGGGCUGCUCCUCCUCGUGCUGCUGCUCACCAAAGCUGCCCCAGGGCUCCGGCCGCUCGAGCUGCGACUCUGCCUUGUUUUAAUUGCGUACCAAAAAAACCCCUGUGCUUCCUGGGUGGGGAUGCAGCUCUGAGGGUCCCUCUGGCUUGUUGCAGAGCUCGAGGGAAGCCUGGGCAGGCCCCCAUAAGUGCCUGUGGUUACAGAUCCCUCUCCCAUUGUGGGGGAGCUGCUGCUGCUCUCUGCUUUCAGCCCUCAGUCCCCACCAUGCAGGGG